ACUACCCGCUGAACUUAAGCAUAUCAAUAAGCGGAGGAAAAGAAACCAACAGGGAUUGCCUUAGUAGCGGCGAGUGAAGCGGCAAAAGCUCAAAUUUGAAAUCUGGCACUUUCAGUGUCCGAGUUGUAAUUUGAAGAAGGUAUCUUUGGGUCUGGCUCUUGUCUAUGUUUCUUGGAACAGAACGUCACAGAGGGUGAGAAUCCCGUGCGAUGAGAUGACCCAGACCUAUGUAAAGUUCCUUCGAAGAGUCGAGUUGUUUGGGAAUGCAGCUCUAAGUGGGUGGUAAAUUCCAUCUAAAGCUAAAUAUUGGCGAGAGACCGAUAGCGAACAAGUACAGUGAUGGAAAGAUGAAAAGAACUUUGAAAAGAGAGUGAAAAAGUACGUGAAAUUGUUGAAAGGGAAGGGCUUGAGAUCAGACUUGGUAUUUUGUAUGUUACUCUCUCGGGGGUGGCCUCUACAGUUUACCGGGCCAGCAUCAGUUUGGGCGGUAGGAGAAUUGCAAAGAAAUGUGGCACUGCCUCGGUAGUGUGUUAUAGUCUUUGUCGAUACUACCAGCCUAGACUGAGGACUGCGGCUUCGGC
This 581-nucleotide ribosomal RNA is filed under the name Lodderomyces orthopsilosis. Its description in RNAcentral is "Candida orthopsilosis partial large subunit ribosomal RNA". It matches the Rfam family "Eukaryotic large subunit ribosomal RNA", at positions 20 to 606 of the family's 3401-position model. Lineage: Eukaryota; Fungi; Ascomycota; Pichiomycetes; Serinales; Debaryomycetaceae. The record is from RNAcentral.